UACGUAGGGUGCGAGCGUUAAUCGGAAUUACUGGGCGUAAAGAGUGCGUAGGCGGUUCUUUGUGUCCGCUGUGAAAGCCCCGGGCUUAACCUGGGAAUGGCAGUGGAAACUAGAGAACUUGAAUCUGGCAGAGGGGGGUGGAAUGCCACGUGUAGCAGUGAAAUGCGUAGAUAUGUGGCGGAACACCGAUGGCGAAGGCAGCCCCCUGGGCUGAGAUUGACGCUCAGGCAUGAAAGCGUGGGGAGCAAACAGG
Molecule: ribosomal RNA, 253 nt
Filed under: uncultured bacterium
Lineage: Bacteria
Description: partial 16S ribosomal RNA
Rfam family: Bacterial small subunit ribosomal RNA
Source: RNAcentral